This 425-nucleotide ribosomal RNA is filed under the name uncultured bacterium. Its description in RNAcentral is "bacterial SSU rRNA". It matches the Rfam family "Bacterial small subunit ribosomal RNA", at positions 359 to 776 of the family's 1533-position model. The record is from RNAcentral.
GAAUAUUGGACAAUGGGGGCAACCCUGAUCCAGCAAUGCCGCGUGUGUGAAGAAGGCCUGCGGGUUGUAAAGCACUUUCGGCAGGGAAGAAAAGCGUCGGGUUAAUAACCUUGCGUCUUGACGUUACCUGCAUAAGAAGCACCGGCUAACUCCGUGCCAGCCGCCGCGGUAAUACGGAGGGUGCAAGCGUUGAUCGGAAUUACUGGGCGUAAAGCGCACGUAGGUGGCCACCUAAGUCGGAUGUGAAAGCCCCGGGCUUAACCUGGGAAUUGCAUUCGAUACUGGGCGGCUAGAGUUCGAAAGAGGGAAGUGGAAUUCCAGGUGUAGCGGUGAAAUGCGUAGAUAUCUGGAGGAACAUCAGUGGCGAAGGCGACUUCCUGGUUCGAAACUGACACUGAGGUGCGAAAGCGUGGGGAGCAAACAGG